UCCUGCCUGUGGCAUAUUGUAGAACUAAAGUUAAACCAAAAAUGACGGCAAAAAUAGGCGAAACGGGCAAAAAGGCAUGAUAUAAAGAGGCAACGCUUAAAGGGUAACUGCACUUUUUAUUGGAGUCCUUCCCUUUUCUGUGCAUUUUAGGGUGAGAAAACGAGUUUAUAUCCGCUUGCUAGCAACGGGCGUCAUGGGAAAUACCUAUUUUGACGGUAACUGACAUAAUUGACUUGUAUGUUAACCAAGCUACAGCCAUAUUAUUAUUGUAGCAGCUAACAUUUUUAUCUCACGGACUAACACGAAGUCUCAGCGUCAUUCACAGAUGGAAUAAUGGAUACCCAGCUCUCAAUUUCGCUACAAAGACUCAUUAAGAUGCAUUGCCGUCGGCAUGUUUUACCUGAGGACUGGACCAAACAGCCAUCCCAUUGAGAGCCGCCAUCUUGGUGUCGUUGUAUAGAUGCUGCUGUUGUUGGCGGGACUACCGAUGUCCUUUUUGAAGCAUGACUGCUCCCCUUGUGUACAAAAUACGAUGUGGACGCUGAGCCUUGACAUACGACCCAACCAAAACAGUUAAUCUGCAAAAGGGCUCACCAUUGUAGUUUCUGUGGUUGUAGUCGAAAUCACUCACCCAAGUGACUGAUGAGUGCACUGGAAAGCCAAUGCAGCGACUGUGAUUUCAUCCUUUCUGAGCCGGACAGUGACAGGCAGGGAGAGAUAUCCAAACAGAC
Non-coding RNA from Doryrhamphus excisus (bluestripe pipefish), 731 nucleotides. The record is from RefSeq and is a predicted model, not a curated record. Lineage: Eukaryota; Metazoa; Chordata; Actinopteri; Syngnathiformes; Syngnathidae.